This 291-nucleotide small RNA is filed under the name Staurosirella pinnata. RNAcentral's name for it is "Fragilaria pinnata transfer-messenger RNA Fragi_pinna". Lineage: Eukaryota; Bacillariophyta; Fragilariophyceae; Staurosirales; Staurosiraceae. The record is from RNAcentral.
AUUUGAAAAUAACUAAAGUAUGAUGCAGGUCGAAGCUUGUAUUCUUCGUAAAAAUCUACAAAUUUAACAUAACUGCUAAUAAUAUAAUUCCUUUUCACUUUAAAACAGUAAAUUUCAAUAACUCAAAUUUAUUACAAUUUGCUGCUUAAAUAAAAACGAACUUUUAGUAACAAAAUUGGUACUCUAUUCUGAGACGUUUCGUUUUAGAUAGUUUUGAAUAAUUUUAACAGUUGUUCACUUAUCGAACUAUGCCUGUGAACGAAUACUUUAAUUAAAUUUAGAUGGACGUGG